This 348-nucleotide ribosomal RNA is filed under the name Parmelia ernstiae. Its description in RNAcentral is "SSU rRNA". Lineage: Eukaryota; Fungi; Ascomycota; Lecanoromycetes; Lecanorales; Parmeliaceae. The record is from RNAcentral.
GUUUGUAUCUCGUGCGUGGUAGUAGUUAAGAUUAAAAGCCUAACUAGCUAUAUGCACGUAGUCGUAACUGAAAGGUUGAUCGACCACAGUGGGCCUGAAUAAAGCCCAUGACGAUUGUCACAGCAGUGAGGAAUAUUGGUCAAUAGCCUAACGGCUGAGAAUAUUUAUAUUUUUUAUUGUUUUCUUAUUAAUUUCUUUUAUUAAUGAAAAUUAAUAAAGAGGCAAUAAGAUAUAUUUACAAGCGUUGCACGGCUGUCUUCAGUUAAUGUCGCGAGACUUUGGUUAGUUCCAUUAAAUUAACGUAAACCCUUACUUUAUUUUUAUAUAGAGUACCCCGCUAUAUUGGAU